Gossypium arboreum is the source of this 326-nucleotide long non-coding RNA. RefSeq lists it as uncharacterized. The record is from RefSeq and is a predicted model, not a curated record. The transcript has 2 exons. NCBI's taxonomy places the organism in Eukaryota, Viridiplantae, Streptophyta, Magnoliopsida, Malvales, Malvaceae.
GUGGAGAUUAUGUCCGGGUAAGACCCGAUGACUACGUGUGGAGAUUUUGUCCGGGUAAGACCCAAUAACUACGUGUGGGGACUAUUCGAGCUAAAGGUUUCGCUGAAGAUUCGAGUAAAGCAUAAGAUUAUACGACUUCACAGUAACAAUUGAUCUCAUUUGGAAGCUACAGGCUCGGGGAUCGUCAGCAACUAGUCACACUAUCACUAUCCACUGCUUGUUACUGUUAUGUUUUGAAUUAUUUUAUGGCAUGUAAAGAAUAGACCAGUGGCCGAAGAAUAUUUUGGUUAAUGUAUAUAAGCCAUGCGAAAAUGGCAUCUUUUGAA